UACGAAGGGGGCUAGCGUUGCUCGGAAUCACUGGGCGUAAAGCGCACGUAGGCGGCUUCUUAAGUCAGGGGUGAAAUCCUGGAGCUCAACUCUGGAACUGCCUUUGAUACUGUCGAUCUAGAGUAUGGAAGAGGUGAGUGGAAUUCCGAGUGUAGAGGUGAAAUUCGUAGAUAUUCGGAGGAACACCAGUGGCGAAGGCGGCUCACUGGUCCAUUACUGACGCUGAGACGCGAAAGCGUGGGGAGCAAACAGG
RNAcentral lists this ribosomal RNA (253 nucleotides) under uncultured bacterium. Its description in RNAcentral is "partial 16S ribosomal RNA". It matches the Rfam family "Bacterial small subunit ribosomal RNA", at positions 524 to 776 of the family's 1533-position model. The record is from RNAcentral.